This 423-nucleotide long non-coding RNA is filed under the name Fukomys damarensis (Damara mole-rat). RNAcentral's name for it is "lncRNA (ENSFDAG00000025153.1)". The record is from RNAcentral. Lineage: Eukaryota; Metazoa; Chordata; Mammalia; Rodentia; Bathyergidae.
GUCUUGUACCCACUUUCAUGUGUCCAACUUUUCCCUUGUGGGUGUGAGCUGAAGAGGGACACUGUUCCAUCACAGAUACUAUGAUGUCACUCUGUGGGUGUCAGGCAUUGUGGACUCAUUGCUUGUGCUGCAGGUGUGUGUCACUUCCUCCUGUCCAUGUUCUGUUCCAGAUGUGAUCUCCAACUCACUCUGCCUUCCACUGCGCCCACUUGAUGCCUUUUCCCCAAUUCAUGGAUGGUGAAUUGCAGAUUUAUGGUUGCUUGGUACCCCAACAUCAGGAGUUCCAGUCCCUAUCUGGACCCACUAAGCUCUGUUGCCCACUGCCACCGUCCACAGGCUGCCACUUUGAGGGAGGUGUCUUCAUGCUCAGCCCAAGAAGAAAGCUGCACGAGCUGAAGGCAUUGUCAGAGAUGGGCUCAUCCU